RNAcentral lists this microRNA precursor (67 nucleotides) under Bombyx mori (domestic silkworm). RNAcentral's name for it is "mir-2774 microRNA precursor family". It matches the Rfam family "mir-2774 microRNA precursor family". Lineage: Eukaryota; Metazoa; Arthropoda; Insecta; Lepidoptera; Bombycidae. The record is from Rfam by way of RNAcentral.
ACAACAUUCUGACCGUCGGUCUACCCAGUAAUUAGAUCCGCUCGGUGGGAGAUCUUCCCUUUGUGGU